AACGAACCAGAUUAGUACCUGGUUAGAUGAAAUUAAAAAAAGCAGAAGUAAAGUUGUAUUUAAACUGUAAGGAUAUUGGCAGGCUUUGUAAAUUAUCUUUGGAGGUUGAGCAGUAAUUGAGAACCCCCAUUUUCAACUUUUAUUUUAGGUGCAUGUAUGAUCGUUUAUUUUAUUCUUAAGGAUUGUAAGCAAAAGUUUUUAUUUAUUAAAAUAGAUAAAUACCUGAUUUAUAUAAAAGUGUAAGUUUGACCUACAAUAAAAAAA
This 264-nucleotide ribosomal RNA is filed under the name Steinernema kraussei. Its description in RNAcentral is "partial 12S ribosomal RNA". The record is from RNAcentral. Lineage: Eukaryota; Metazoa; Nematoda; Chromadorea; Rhabditida; Steinernematidae.